GAUGAACGCUAGCGGGAGGCCUAACACAUGCAAGCCGAGCGGUAGAGAUGCUUCGGUAUCUUGCGAGCGGCGUACGGGUGCGGAACACGUGUGCAACCUGCCUUUAUGAGGGGGAUAACCUCGCGAAAGGAACAUUAAUACCCCAUUAUAUAUUUAAGGGCAUCAUUUGAUGCUGAAACCCCCGGUGGAUAGAGGUGGGCACGCGCAAGAUUAGAUAGUUGGUGAGGUAACGGCUCACCAAGUCUACGAUCUUUAGGGGGCCUGAGAGGGUGAUCCCCCACACUGGUACUGAGGCACGGACCAGACUCCUACGGGAGGCAGCAGUGAGGAAUAUUGGACAAUGGGUGCGAGCCUGAUCCAGCCAUCCCGCGUGAAGGACGACGGCCCUAUGGGUUGUAAACUUCUUUUGUAUAGGGAUAAACCUAGAUACGUGUAUCUAGCUGAAGGUACUAUACGAAUAAGCACCGGCUAACUCCGUGCCAGCCGCCGCAGUAA
This 495-nucleotide ribosomal RNA is filed under the name uncultured bacterium. Its description in RNAcentral is "partial 16S ribosomal RNA". It matches the Rfam family "Bacterial small subunit ribosomal RNA", at positions 28 to 523 of the family's 1533-position model. The record is from RNAcentral.